Molecule: long non-coding RNA, 4106 nt
Organism: Pleuronectes platessa (European plaice)
Lineage: Eukaryota; Metazoa; Chordata; Actinopteri; Pleuronectiformes; Pleuronectidae
Exons: 2
Source: RefSeq, a predicted model, not a curated record
GAGCACCGCGGAGCAUGUCGGGGCGACAUUAUCACAAGAACUCAAAUAAAUGCCCCGUCAGAUAUCAAAACACAUUUGGGGGGAAUUGAUGACAGAGAGAGUAAUUUUUUAUUAUUAAAUAUUGAUGAAUGAAGAAAAAUUGGGCUCCAGCAGAAGGGCACUUUUCUCCUCCAGGGCAAAAGGGCAGGUGCUUGAGCACGUGCCUGUCUCUGAGGGCGGAAGGCUGUUCCAGCUCUUUCCAUCUACCCACAAGGACAGAACGCGGCCAGCCGCUUCUCCUGCAUCGCUGAGGAGAGGGCCUGGCUGCUCCAGCACAUCUUCUCUUCCCCACAACAACCGGAGGUCAGAGGUGCAGCUUUCCAACUCAUCUUCUCAAGGAAACCUCCUUUCAAAUCAAGCUUUUCCAAACCUCCUAGCAGCGACUAGUAGGUGGAGCAUGCCGAUGCCGAACCUCGUAGCAGCUCUCCGGAGGACAGGCAAGCAGUUAGCCUGCGACGUAACUCUCCUUCGUUCAGCCACUUGGCUCCGGACCUCCACUGGGUAAGUGCUCCAACUCUUUUUUCCUUUUUCACAGGUUUCACUCUGGGUUUUUUUCUCUAGUUUUCCUCUUCUCCUUAACACACAGCUGCCCUCGCUUCCCGGGCCGAGAUCCGAAAAGACCGGAAGAGCAACGCGACUGCACUUCCUCUCCGAGCCGACAGGCUGAGCGCGGCCUGCGUAGCUUCUGAUUGGCUGCUGAGAACUAGGUACCCCACGUGGGACCAUGCGAGUUGAGCGGUGCAUUCAAAACAAAUAAGAUAAUCAGAGCAAACAGUCUCUCUUCUUUUACGGUACUAAAUUAACAGUGUUUCUUACACCUGGUUACACCUACACUGUUAAGAACUACAUAACCUUCACUGUUCAUUAUAUAAUCUUUAAUAGUAAAUAUUGAGAUAUCUGAUCGAACUAGAUCUGAAUGAGACUAUCUUAAUCAAUAAUUGGCUAUCUUUUCACUUCUUUGAAGGGUGGUGCCCCGCGGGAACUUUAAUCAAAUAAAGUUAUGAUCUAAUAUUAAUAUUUUAAAUAUUAAUGUUUUAUAUUUAAUUUUGAUUCCAGUUAAAUCUAGAAUAGAAUUUAAAAUUCUCCUCCUGACCUUCAAGGCCCUUAAUAAUAUGGCGCCAUUUUACCUUAAAGAGCUGUUAGAACCUUAUCAACCCAAUAGAGCACUCCGCUACCAGAAUUCAGGCUUACUUGUCGUCCCUAAAGUCUCUAAAAGUAGAAUAGGAGCCAGAGCUUUCAGCCAUCAAGCUGCUCUCCUGUGGAAUAAUCUCUCACUUUCAGUUCGGGAAGCAGACACCAUCUGUACGUUUAAUAGUAGGCUUAAAACCUUCCUUUUUGAUAAAGCUUACAGUUAGAGGCUUGUCUUAGACCUGCUCUUAGUUAUGCUGCUAUAGGUCAAGAAGGUCGAUAACAUCAACUGGCGGUACUAUGCAUUAAUUAAUUCGGCAGAAUAUAACUUGUCCUAUGUUCUAAAAUGGGAAGCGUUUAGUUUUAAAAGGCAUAGAGGUAGUGAUGUCUAAUCUACAGAGUGGGCCACAUGGCUUUCAUAGUACUGCCAUACAAGCCAGUAGCCAGUCAGAUUUACCUUGAGCCUCACUGUACCCUCAAGUUCGGCCUGUAUCAUUGAUUAAAAGGCAUGACGCCUUUUAAUCUGAUGACGCUAGGGUGCAAAAGGAAUUUAUGACACAUGACACACAGAGCUUCUCUUUCCAGCUUCUCCUUCCUCUUCUCUAAUCAUUAUCACAGUGGUUCUCAAAGUGGGGGGGGCACGGACACUCUCCGGGGGGUGCAAUGUCACAGACCAAAACAUUUAAAUAAAAAAAAUGUUAAAAAAAUGACAGACAACCUGUCACUGGUUAGUGAAAGCUCCCUCAGUGGCGAAAUGCUAGGGCCUGGACUGACACAAACAAAUCAAAUACUGUUUCGUUCCUGAUCCACCAAUCAAAAGAGGAGUGUUAUCAUUUGAACGCGAGUUGCACGUACGCUUCUGACUAUAAAAGUAACUGUAGGCAUGGUCAGCGCUCACCCUCACUGAGACGACACCCUGCAGAGUUUGUGUGAUUGCUCUUGUUUACUCUAUAAUUCAGAUAUUCAUUGCUUUAUAAACAGUCUUUUUAAAGACUCACUCCUUCCUUAGUAAUACCUUCCUGCACUUGCAGCAGGCCUAUUAGUAGCCUAAUCUAAGGAGUAAUUUGCUCCACAGUCUUUUUUAGAAAGCUCAUAGCCCCAAGAGCUAGCCUUCUAGCUAGCUAACUUCUUCCAACUGCAGCUAGCCCUUUUCUCCUUAACACCUACCUUUACAUCUUCAAUCAUCCACCGUGUUGCAACAAAUAAAACACCAGCACUUGAAUACUAUUCUGUGCUGUCCCUGUCUACAUUGUGUACUGUUCGUUUUGUUAGGAACCAUUGCCUAGCACAGCCUUAUUCAUUAUUCGUGUGCAAGUCGCUCACAGCUACACAUACAAACACACUCACAAGACCACGACAUCGCAAUUAGAACUUUAUUAACAUCACACACACUGUAUCAGCAAACAAACACAACUAUGGACAAGUUUCUGAUUCGUAAAAGUGACCGAUGCGCCAGUUGCAUAGAAGCUUCGCAAAUAUGACGAGAGCUAUUUGCAGUUUGGUUUCACCGUCACUGGCACGACUGAGCAACGUCCUCGGUGUGUUUUGUGUGCCAAGGUGCUGGCAAAUACAGCAUGAAGCCAUGCAAAUUGAAAGGCACCUCGACACCAAACACCCGACUUGAAAGAGAAGCUGUGGACUUCUUUAUGAGGUAAUCGUGAUGGCCUCCAGCAACAACAAUCCACCAUCUCCAAGCAUAGCACCGUCUCCAAGCUAUCUAUCUAUCUAUCUAUUGUGGUGUAGUUGAGGGCGGUGGUGGCGGGCGGCUCGGGGGAGCGGGGGGGCCCUAACUACCCCUAACCAGCUUUGGGGGGGCCCAGCUUGCAAAAGUUUGAGAACCCCUGCAUUAUCACAUCAAAGUUAUUCAUAUCUCAUCAAUACAUGUUUCUGACUUGACCCCUUCCCUGGAGUCCCUUUGCCUUAUCGUCCACAGAUCCAGGGCUGCAGCUGUGACCACAUCAUGGAUUACGAUCUUUGGAUCGCGUAUCAGAGGUCGUAAUGGUGGAUCCAUUUUGGCGUAUUCUGUAUCUUGCUGGCUGAUCGUAAUAAUAAUGGCGGAUCCCUUAUCGUUGGCAUCUGAUAAUGGUGGUGGACCACGACCGAGGUGGCAGCUGAUGAUGGAUCCAUUUGGCUGCAGUGGAAAAUGACAGUGAACUAUAGUGGCAUCCGAUUUGAUGGUGGAUCAUGUACUUGCUGGCUGCUGACCAUAGACUAUGAUUGCAGCAGGACUGCUUGAUAUGUAGUACACUUGACAUCUAUUGCACUUCUGUCCGUCCUGGGAGAGGGAUCCCUCACAUGUGGCUCUCUCUGAGGUUUCUACGUUCUUUUUACCCUGCUAAAAGGGUUUUUAGUAGUUUUUCCUUACUCUUGUUGAGGGUUAAGGACAGAGGAUGUCUCACCAUGUUAAAGCCCUAUGAGACAAAUUGUGAUUAGUGAAUAUGGGCUAUACAAAUCAAAUUUGAUUGAUAGAUUGAUUGAUAUUUACGGUGACGGUUUUUUCCCACAUUUAGAUUUCAUUGCGAUUUUUUGGACUUGGUUAGAUUUAGUUUCUUUAUGAUUAAUUGUUGGAUUUCUGGUUUCUUUGUUUUAUUUUAUUUUGUUCUUUGUUCCGUGGGUAAUGUGCAAUCGUGGUUUAAUGGCUUGAAUAUUGAUGAAUUAAUGGCGCCGCAAAUUAAAGGCCCUCUUCUGUUAUUUCAGUGUAUAAUAUCGCUUAAAGUGAUAAUCCACUGGUGCAAUCACACCAGGGUUGGGAUUCGUAAAGUGUGCUGUGCUUGUUUUAUGCAUGAUAUUUAAGCUUUGUUAAUUUGGGUAUGGGGCCUUUAACCUCUCACUUUUUUAUCUGUUAUUUAUAUCUAAUACAGGCCAGUACUUGUCCUGUGCUGUUUGAUCAGUCUUUUAAAAUAAUUUGUACGAAUUGGAUAAAUUGUCUAUUUCUGGAA